Molecule: long non-coding RNA, 1019 nt
Organism: Oncorhynchus tshawytscha (Chinook salmon)
Lineage: Eukaryota; Metazoa; Chordata; Actinopteri; Salmoniformes; Salmonidae
Source: Ensembl
UCUCAGUCCAAUUGUUAGACUCUAUUUGUUCUAAAUUUAUCUAUGAAGUGAAUGUUUGCCUCAAGUUUUCCAUAUGUGUUGUAGAAUGUGUGAGUGAGCCAAUAUUCGGCCACGUGUGGUGUCAACCAGAGGUUUGAGGGGUGAACUGAACAUAAGGUCUACGUGGCCUAUUAGACCAUUAGACAACAAAAUCCUAGACCAACUCCAGCUAUCAAGGACCACCACAAUCCUGUUUUUAAUUUCCCAUGGAACGUUCAAUUGUAUACUGUAGCAGUUAUUCUGCUGUUAUGUCCAUCCAGGUUUAAAAUAGAUACAGUACUGAAUUAUCAAAAGAUGAAGAUGAAAAGUCUAAUCAGAGGCACAUGAACAUAAAUGUGUUCCUCCUAGAGUGGACUGGGUGUUGCUCUGGUUUGUGUGGUUGUUUGUGUGUAGAUGUGUGUGUGUGAUUAUGAUAUGUGACCUUCUCCCUACCAGUGGAUGCUCUGGAGGCUAUGAUGGUCGCUUAGCUCCACCGUACCCCACCUUCCCUUCAGGUAGCCUCUCCUAGAGUACAGAGAGUGGAAAUUAUAGAGGAUUUCACAUUCACAUCUAGCCACCAAAAAUUCUGAGAUUUCCAUACCCAAUUCUUUGUUCUCCAAACACGACGAGUUGAGUUUUUACCAAAAGUUAUAUUUUGGUUUCAUCUGACCAUAUGACAUUCUCCCAAUCUUCUCCUGGAUCAUCCAAAUGCUCUCUAGCAAACUUCAGACGGGCCUGGACAUGUAUUGGCUUAAGCAGGGGGACAUUUGCUAAAUUGUAAUUACUUCACUACUAUGGCCUAUUUAUUGCCUUACCUCCUCACGCCAUUUGCACACACUGUAUAUAGACUUUCUUUUUUUCUGUUGUGUUAUUGACUACGCUUCUUUAUUCCAUGUGUAACUCUGUGUUGUUGUUUGUGUCGCACUGCUUUGCUUUAUCUUUGUCAGGUCGCAGUUGUAAAUGAGAACUUGUUCUCAACUGGCUUACCUGGUUAAAUAAAG